This 379-nucleotide RNase P RNA is filed under the name Caulobacter sp. RNAcentral's name for it is "RNase P RNA component class A". It matches the Rfam family "Bacterial RNase P class A". Rfam says of the family: Ribonuclease P (RNase P) is a ubiquitous endoribonuclease, found in archaea, bacteria and eukarya as well as chloroplasts and mitochondria. Lineage: Bacteria; Pseudomonadati; Pseudomonadota; Alphaproteobacteria; Caulobacterales; Caulobacteraceae. The record is from RNAcentral.
UCAGACGGCCGGGCGAUCGCGGUUCCUUCGGGGGUCGAGGAAAGUCCGGGCUCCACGGCGACAAGGCGGCGGGUAACGCCCGCCCGGGGUGACCCGAGGGACAGCGCCACAGAAAGCAAACCUCCUCCGCUGCGGCGGCGGGAAGGGUGAAAGGGUGGGGUAAGAGCCCACCGCGGACCUGGUGACAGGGACGGCAUGGCAAGCCCCGCCUGGAGCAAGACCGAAUAGGGAUUCCGCGCCCCGCGAGGGGCAGGGCCGUCGCCGGCCCGAGGCGUCCGGGUUGGUCGCGAGAACCGGUCAGCAAUGGCCGGUCCAGAGGAAUGAUCGUCGCGCGUCUUCGGGCGCGUCACAGAACCCGGCUUACAGGCCGUCUGAUCCG